RNAcentral lists this ribosomal RNA (254 nucleotides) under uncultured bacterium. Its description in RNAcentral is "partial 16S ribosomal RNA". It matches the Rfam family "Bacterial small subunit ribosomal RNA", at positions 524 to 776 of the family's 1533-position model. The record is from RNAcentral.
UACGUAGGGGGCGAGCGUUGUCCGGAUUUAUUGGGCGUAAAGAGCUCGUAGGCGGUUUGGUAAGUCAGGUGUGAAAUCUCCACGCUCAACGUGGAGGGGCCACCUGAUACUGCCAUGACUGGAGUCCGGUAGAGGAGUGUGGAAUUCCCGGUGUAGCGGUGAAAUGCGCAGAUAUCGGGAGGAACACCGGUGGCGAAGGCGGCCCACUGGCUCGAUACUGACGCUGAGGUGCGAAAGCGUGGGGAGCAAACAGG